UCAUUUUGAAGCAAAUCUUUUCAAAAUUUCUUAAAAAAUGGAAUAAUAGAUAUAUUUAAAAUAGAAUAGGGACACAUGGCAGACAUAAGACUUGUCAAUUAGUUACGCUGGAGCAAUACCAACAUCCAAUCAUGAGUUGACAUGUGACAGUCAACGAAGAAAGAAAGAAUGAGUUAUUUAAUAAGACAUUUUUGUCCUUUUUACAGCAUAAAUAGAUACAUUCUGCUUUUAACAUACAAUUCAUGAAACCAAAGAAAUAUUUUGACCAUUAUGCCCUACAGUUAAGUGUAGUAGUUCACAUGUACUCCAGUAUCCACCACCAUCACGACCUCGCCACUGUAUCCCCCACCGUCAAAUCUUCCACCUCCAUUGUAUCCAACACCACCGAUGUAUCCACCUCUGCAUUCACCUCCACCUUCACCACCACUGUAUCCACUUCCAUAUCCAUAACCACCACAACAUCUAGUCAAAUAACAAUCGCUACCUUCGUAACCCCCAUUC
RNAcentral lists this long non-coding RNA (501 nucleotides) under Brassica napus (rape). RNAcentral's name for it is "long non-coding RNA (BNAP_LNC007957)". Lineage: Eukaryota; Viridiplantae; Streptophyta; Magnoliopsida; Brassicales; Brassicaceae. The record is from RNAcentral.